UGGGGAAUAUUGCACAAUGGGCGCAAGCCUGAUGCAGCCAUGCCGCGUGUGUGAAGAAGGCCUUCGGGUUGUAAAGCACUUUCAGCGGGGAGGAAGGCGAUAAGGUUAAUAACCUUGUCGAUUGACGUUACCCGCAGAAGAAGCACCGGCUAACUCCGUGCCAGCAGCCGCGGUAAUACGGAGGGUGCAAGCGUUAAUCGGAAUUACUGGGCGUAAAGCGCACGCAGGCGGUUGAUUGAGUCAGAUGUGAAAUCCCCGGGCUUAACCCGGGAAUUGCAUCUGAUACUGGUCAGCUAGAGUCUUGUAGAGGGGGGUAGAAUUCCAGGUGUAGCGGUGAAAUGCGUAGAGAUGUGGAGGAAUACCGGUGGCGAAGGCGGCCCCCUGGACAAAGACUGACGCUCAGGUGCGAAAGCGUGGGGAGCAAACAGG
This 429-nucleotide ribosomal RNA is filed under the name Chloroflexota bacterium. RNAcentral's name for it is "Chloroflexi bacterium partial 16S ribosomal RNA". It matches the Rfam family "Bacterial small subunit ribosomal RNA", at positions 355 to 776 of the family's 1533-position model. The record is from RNAcentral. Lineage: Bacteria; Bacillati; Chloroflexota.